AAGCAUGCAAUGGACUGCCAUCAUUAGGUUUGAGCACUCCUCUGAUAAAUCCAUUCCCAGCAGCCGCUAUAACCAAAGGCCCAGUGAAUUGACAUCUGAAUUGCGACCGGAACUGUCUGAUAAAAAGUGUUUUUAGACAUGAACUAGUGGGAAUCUGACACCUAUUAUGCGCGACUUUUGCACUGGCAAGUGCAUGUCUAUAUGCUGAUCUUACGUCUACACAUUAAAACAUAAUUUUGGGUUUGUACAUUCACAAUAUGUUACUUUCUGAAAUGAACCAAAAUACUCUUGUGUGGAUACCUGUACAUGGCAGAUGAUUCUGUUAUGUCUUAAUUCUUUAUUGCUUCCUAAAUUUGAAAACAGCAUUAUAUUUCUUAAAUAUGAGAUGAGAAUCUAGGGACCCAUGUUGUCGUACAUUAUAUUUCUUAAUCUGCUAGGAGCUGGAAGAUGUAUGUGAUGCAGCACCAGUUGUCGUGGGUUUCAACUGGAUUGAGUUAAUAGGUAAAUGAUGGAAGCAACAAACUUUCACCCAUCUCCUUGGAUGGACAAGAUCUGUGUUUGCAGUUCCAUUGGACAGCAAAAGUUGACAAUUUCACCAUUUUCAAGUUUCAUGGCGAUGAGCAAGUAGGUGCCAUCAUGGGGCAUUAAACGUGUAGCAGUUGGUAGAAGAGUGAUAAUAAAAGAGCUUCUUAGACCCAUUUGUGUGGUUGGAUACAUAUAAAUACACAUGAAUCUGUUUAUCUGUUUACCUCUCAAAUUUUUAGAUGAAUAUGAUUUACAUGGACCCAAAUAGAUGAAUAUGGAUUCUAUCGAAUAUAGUAAAAUUUUCUCGCAUGCACAAGUAGCUGAAUUGCAUUAAAGAAUCCUCCCUUUCAUACUCUCUUCAUGUCACUUCAAUCAUAAAUAGGAUCACAUGAUAAAGCUGAGCUGGGUGAGUUCUUUCAUUUUCUUUUCUUUUUCUUUGUUCAGUGAAGCCAUUCAAAGCAGAGACAACUAUCUCCUCAUAAGUCUCAAACAACAUAACUUGUGUAAAAGUCUUUUUUUUUUUAAAGUAUGCUUAUGGCAUACCAAAUUUAGAAAUAUGAAGUUGUAAUGUCACUCAUCUAAUUUAAUUUGUUUCGAUAAUUAAAUAUAUUUGCUGGUUUCGAGUUGACGUACCUAUUAUCCUUUAGAAAAAAAAAUUAGCAUCUUGAUUAUGGAUAAUCCCCUGGGCAUCCGUUAACUGGAUAGAAAUUUGUUGCGCCUUAUUGGGCUUUGUUCUGUAAAUGGCCCACCACAUUUUGCUCAACCCACACUAUGUUUCCCAGAUUCCCGCACGAUUCAGGAAACUGCUGUCGCGGACUCGCAGGCAUAUUUCCCACGCUUUAUCAUCAACCAAACACCCACAUCCAAACUUAUCAUCUAUAAGCAGAAACCAGCUCAGAAUCAGUGAUUGUCGCAAACCAUGAAUUACAGAAGGGAUAUCCGCAAUUCAAGCUCAGCUAUAUUUGAUGAUGGCCUUGAAGAAGGUGGCCUUAGGGCCUCUUCUUCAUAUUCCCAUGAUAUUAAUGAUCACGACAAUGAUAAAGACAUGGACUGUUUGCAAGACAGAGUUAUUUUCCUGAAGAGAUUAACAGGUGACAUACAUGAGGAAGUGAAGAAUCAUAAUCAUUUGCUUGAUCGAAUGGAUCUUUCGACGAAGCAGAUUAUUGAUAGAGGGAGUGAGUUAGAGGGUCUUUACGUCUUGGAUCAGCAACUACCUCGAUCUCCUCGAUCUCUGGGAAACAAUAUGGACGUAUCAAGGGGUAUAAUGUCAGGAACCAUGGAUCGAUUCAAAAUGGUAUUUGAGAAGAAAUCAGGUCGAAGGACAUGCAUACUUGCUGGGGUUCUCAUUGUUUCCUUUUUAACUAUAUAUUACCUUAUUAGGUUAAGAUCCUCCUUAUGGUUUUGAAUAGAAGUGAUUAUACCCAGUUCUUAUAAUAUUUUAUCUUCAAGGCAACAAUGGAUCCUAAGAUACGUCCGAGCGUAAAGUAGCUUGCGGGAAUUUCUUCUCUUGAAUCUGCAAUUAGGUUAAUUAAAGUUGUGCCAUGCACAGCUUGCAAUCAACUAAUCCAGGGGCUACAGAUGACUUGAUCUUGUUGUUGAGAAGAUGAGAAGGUUGCUUCGCUGCAUAUAUGCUGUGAAUCACAUCUGAGUGAAGGUAGGCUGGAAGCAGGCCUGAGCAAAUUCUAACAAGUAAACUUGGUUGGAUAUCAUGCAGUCCUUCACAAUCCACUUCCCUCCUCUCAUCCUCUAAGCCUAUCAUAUUUCUCUGAUUGCAAUUUUGGACUUGGUUUCUGUUUUAUUUAGUUUGCUGGAGGGAAUUGGGUCUAGCGGAAGAUGGAGAAAAUGCCAGUGCUUGCCGAGCAAUUUAAGUAGCAUUGCUUUGUAGUUUUCCAAAGCUUUACAUUAAUAUCCAUUUAGUGGAAAAUUGAUAAUGAAAUCUCUAUAUUUCAUCUAUGUAAUGAUACUGCGAUAUUAGCUGUAUGUUUUCUUCUUAAUUAUUCUAAACUCAA
RNA transcript from Manihot esculenta (cassava), 2534 nucleotides. It is a transcript of the gene named bet1-like SNARE 1-1, with no coding region annotated. NCBI's taxonomy places the organism in Eukaryota, Viridiplantae, Streptophyta, Magnoliopsida, Malpighiales, Euphorbiaceae. The record is from RefSeq and is a predicted model, not a curated record. The transcript has 7 exons.